GCUACGGCUGGCGGCGUGUCUUAGCCAUGCAAGUCGAGCGGACUUAUGGGGUAACUUAUAAGUCAGCGGCGGACGGCGGAGUAACACGUAGCUAACCUACCCUCUGGACGGGGAUAACCUACCGAAAGGUGGGCUAAUACCCGAUGUAGUCAUCCUGUAUAGGGGUGAUGAAAGGUGGGCUUCUGUUUACAAGCUCAUGCUGGAGGAGGGGGCUGCGGCCUAUCAGGUAGUUGGUAGGGUAAUAGCCUACCAAGCCGAUGACGGGUAGCCGGCCUGAGAGGGUGACCGGCCCGAGGGGCACUGAGAUACGGGUCCCACUCCUACGGGAGGCAGCAGGCUAGAAAUUUGGGCAAUGGGGGAAACCCUGACCCAGUGACGCCGCGUGCAGGAAGGAGCCCUUCGGGGUGUAAACUGCUGUCGUGUAGGGAGAAGGGUACUAAGGUGAACAAUCUUAGUACUUGACGGUACUACAGGAGGAAGCCCAGGCUAACCUCGUG
This 497-nucleotide ribosomal RNA is filed under the name uncultured bacterium. RNAcentral describes it as "bacterial SSU rRNA". It matches the Rfam family "Bacterial small subunit ribosomal RNA", at positions 35 to 507 of the family's 1533-position model. The record is from RNAcentral.